This 3217-nucleotide long non-coding RNA is filed under the name Gallus gallus (chicken). RNAcentral describes it as "lncRNA (ENSGALG00010022335.1)". Lineage: Eukaryota; Metazoa; Chordata; Aves; Galliformes; Phasianidae. The record is from RNAcentral.
CUUCCUUCAUGAGGCUUGUAGUGCCUGACUUCCAGCUAUCAGCAUUACCUAAGAAUGUUGAAAGCAAUAGGGCACCUCCAACUUCCAGCCUUGCCUAGGCACGGACUGCCUGUUGCGUGUCCUGAGAAAUGCUGUGUCCUGCAGCUGGGAUCUUUCUCAUUUUCUCCCAGGUCCUGUGUGGGCAUGUUGUCCUCUGUUCACUGCACACCCCCAGUCUCCUUGUUAGUUUUGGUCUGAGUAACCCAAAGUGGGAGCUUGGCUGCUUCAGCCAGUAGAAAUACAUGUAAUUGAAGAGGCUAAAGCAGGGAGCACUGUUAUAAUUAGCUGGCCAUAUUAGGCAUUUUACAAUUCUGACACCUCACAAGAGUGGAAGUUUAAUGAGAAUGGAGAGAGGCUCAAAAGCAAUCCGUUUUCCUGGUAAAGAGUGUAAUGAAGGUGUGAAAUGAUGCACAGCUAACUAAACCUGCCUGUAAUAGCCUCUCUGUUAUAAUGUACUGAUCUGGCAGAACAGAAACAGGACAGUGUGUGUGUGUGUGUAUACUGUGUAUAUUCCUUUUCUUACAGUGGCCGAUGUAAUACAGCUUCACAUGCAGGUCAGGUGUGAAAUAUGUUAAGAGCUACUUAGGAUCCAAAGAGCUCAUGUACAGUGAGCAUGGCCCAAGGAAUGUGCUGCAGAACUGUGUCCUGCAGAGGAUGUUUGGGGGAUAUGUGGCUCAGAAACAGCCCAGGCUGGGCCAGCUCUGCUGUGGCACAAUGUGGAUCUGUGACCCACUUGCAGUCCCUGCAGAAAAUCACAGUGAAUUCCCUGCAGAUCUGCCAAGGUGGAGAAUUAGCAUAGAGGUGUUUUCUGACUAUUUGUUUGAGAAGAUGCUGCAUCUCAUAUUGUUAGUUUAAAAUUAAGUGGUAGCAGCUGUAAGCAGUGUACUUUGCAUGGUGAAGCCCUGUAACAUGUCACUGUGAUUGCAUCUCUUUGCCUUCAUUUGCUAGUAAAGCAUCAAAUUAAGAUGGGUGCAGAAGGAACUGGAAUGAGUGGGGUACCUAUAUAGCUUCUGAUGGCACAUGGGAGCGAGCAGCCAUCUGAGGGCCCCUUUGCACCCACAGUGCUUUGCUGUGCAGCAGGAGGUAUUGGAACAGGCUGCCCAGGGAAUGGUGGAGUCGCUGUCCCUGGAGGCAGUCAGGAACUGUGGAGACGUUGGACUUGGUGAUCUUAGAGGUACUUUCCAACCUCAGUGAUUCUAUGAUUCCGUUCUAGGAACCCACCUGCUGGUGGGAGCAGCAGCCUGCUGGGCAGGGGGAUGAGGGCCAGAGCUCUUGUAAACAUCAAGCGUGGAGGUGAAAUAUGAAAAUUGGGAUAAACGCAUGGUAAAUUGUGAUCAGGAUGUAAAUUCUUGAGCCAGUAAAUUGUAUCUCACACAAUUAGUUCUAUGCUGUUUCCUCUGCUUGUCACCACUUGCAUGAUAUGGCUGAGCUUCCACAUAGCUGCUUUUGGCAGAUGAUGGAGGUUUGUCAAGUGCAAUUGUGGAGCAUUGGCACUCCGGCCCUCCUGCAGGGAGCACUGCAUCCUGAUGGGUGGCUCCUCCCAGGAACACCCAAAUCCUAUAGGAAACAGGCUUCUUGUAAAGAUCUCCGUCACAUUAUUUAUUGUGAACAACACUUGUGUUUUCCUACUAUGUGUAUGCUCUAGAGGCUUGCCUUUGCAUGUGCUCAAAUUUGUUUUUGUUCAGUACAUCACAGGACUUGGAGCAAUGCAGUUUUGGCAAAAUAAGUGGGAAGACUGCGUAAACACUGCAUAAGCUUUCUUAUGUACUCCACGUCUUUUCCAAUAUAUUUAAGUGAUCCAGCUAUGCAGCUACAGCACAUCUAUUAAUACAAGUUAAUACAAAGAUGUAAUUGUUUCAUGGGCUCACUUAAGUUAUAUUUUUAUGAAGAGAACAAGAGGAUCCCCUGGGACACUGUUGUACAAAUAACGAAGGCAGGAGCUCAAUUAGUGAAAGAAGAGAAAGGAAAGGUGGGGAUAUAUGAAAGUAUGAGCCUCAACAGUUGACCAGAAAGUAAAGAAAAUCAAGAAGCGAGUCUACAGAAAUAAACCUAAUCCCUAUCCUUUUUCCUUAGAAGCCUACAGCGUGUUUCCAACAAGGUGAGACUGGAUAACAAAAUGCUGCACUCUGGCCCGUGCCUGCAGAGCUCUUUGGUAUUGUGACUUCUGAAGCCCUUGAUGCCUUUGCUAGAACAAAGCCCUGGUUUCCUUUCUGAUCUCCUGAGAGAGCCUAAGGGCUAGCAGGGCCGUUUGCGGUGCGUGCGAUACAGGCUCUGCACUGAGUUCAGAGACUUGAGAGGCUGAUUUCAUGCAGCUUCACAGGCUUUAAUCCUGAUCUCGUGGUAGUUCUCUCUCAGGGACUGCCGAGUGUCCAUAUUGGCCGGCGGUCCCACGAGGAAAGUGCAUCUCUGCAGAGUGCAAUGAAUAAUCCCCUGAAAAGUGGAGCCUAUGAAGAAAGGAAAUUAUUGGCAUGUGUGUCAUUUCCAUCAAAAGAGCUUCUCCAUCAGCUGGUUCAAAGUGGUUGUCGCUGUAACCUUCUUCUGUCAGUUACUGUUCCCAUGUAUUAUAUAGGGCUUAGUGGUGAAACUACUUCAGAGCGAGUGUGAAAAUACAUAUUUUGCAAAUUGACUCUUCACCAGCUUUGUAGGAAAACCAAGGAGGAUGCUGACAUAAGCAGAAGUGGGAUUUGUAAAGGACCUUUUCCAGGAUGGAGUCAGAGUGGUCAGUACCAGCUUGUGGCCUAGGGGAAGGCGUGAGGCUGUGGGAUUCAGAUGAAUUCAGCAGAGUUUCAUUGCAAUCUCAGCAUCCUGCUGCCACGGGGAAAGAAAAGGUAUUUUCAGAGCAAAGGUUAUCUUCAUAAAGUGUACGGAUGUGUCCCAUUGUGAAACAGUGGUUUGUUUCUCAGUUACCUUUAUGUUCUUGCAUGGAAUUGGAAAUUAUGCAAUUCCUUUGACCUCCUUAAUUGCAAUUAUAUUGCUAAAUAUGUCAAAGCUGGAGUUGCUUUUUUUUUUUCGUUUUCCUGUCACCAAAAACUGACAUUGCCCCUGCUGCAAAAGAUGCUGUGAGCCAGGGUUUCGAAUGGGCUUAUUUUGAUUAGAGUUGGUAAACAAUUCUAGCAUUUUUAUCAGUAUUUUGCCAACGUUGCCGUUGGGUUUGCAGGCACAAGAACACAGCCCUGUU